This 426-nucleotide ribosomal RNA is filed under the name uncultured bacterium. RNAcentral's name for it is "bacterial SSU rRNA". It matches the Rfam family "Bacterial small subunit ribosomal RNA", at positions 354 to 796 of the family's 1533-position model. The record is from RNAcentral.
GUGGGGAAUAUUGGACAAUGGGCGCAAGCCUGAUCCAGCAAUGCCGCGUGAGUGAUGAAGGCCUUAGGGUUGUAAAGCUCUUUCGGCGGGGACGAUGAUGACGGUACCCGCAGAAGAAGCCCCGGCUAACUCCGUGCCAGCAGCCGCGGUAAUACGGAGGGGGCUAGCGUUGUUCGGAAUUACUGGGCGUAAAGGGCGCGCAGGCGGCUGCUCAAGUCAGGCGUGAAAGGCCUGGGCUCAACCCGGGAAUUGCGCUUGAGACUGAGCUGGCUUGAGGACGGGAGAGGAUGGUGGAAUUCCCAGUGUAGAGGUGAAAUUCGUAGAUAUUGGGAAGAACACCGGUGGCGAAGGCGGCCAUCUGGACCGUUACUGACGCUGAGGCGCGAAAGCGUGGGGAGCAAACAGGAUUAGAAACCCGGGUAGUCC